Molecule: ribosomal RNA, 233 nt
Filed under: uncultured bacterium
Lineage: Bacteria
Description: partial 16S ribosomal RNA
Rfam family: Bacterial small subunit ribosomal RNA
Source: RNAcentral
GAUCCUGGCUCAGGAUGAACGCUGGCGGCGUGCCUAACACAUGCAAGUCGAACGAGAUGCGUAUCGGAAAGCUUCGGCCGGAAGAUACGUUAUCUAGUGGCGAACGGGUGAGUAACGCGUAAUCAACCUGCCCUUCAGAGGGGGACAACAGUUGGAAACGACUGCUAAUACCGCAUACGAUCCAAUCUCGGCAUCGAGACUGGAUGAAAGGUGGCCUCUAUUUAUAAGCUAUC